CUACCAGAAUGGCAACCUAGAUGUCCAUUAAUAGUGGACAGGAUAAAGAAAAAUGUGGUACAUAUACAUCACGGAAUACUACACAGCCAUAGAAAUAAUGAUACAACUGUUGCCGCAAAUGGCAUGGUUUCUUUUUUUUUAAAGUCUGAAUAAUAUUAUAUUAUACACAUGCACGUAUGUGUGUGCAUGUGUCUGUGUGUGUGUGUGUGUCAGGGUUUUUGCUUUCAUACACUGACAGAUGUUUAGGUUGUUU
Molecule: long non-coding RNA, 253 nt
Filed under: Pan troglodytes (chimpanzee)
Lineage: Eukaryota; Metazoa; Chordata; Mammalia; Primates; Hominidae
Description: long non-coding RNA NONPTRT013634
Source: RNAcentral